RNAcentral lists this ribosomal RNA (253 nucleotides) under uncultured bacterium. RNAcentral's name for it is "partial 16S ribosomal RNA". It matches the Rfam family "Bacterial small subunit ribosomal RNA", at positions 524 to 776 of the family's 1533-position model. The record is from RNAcentral.
GACGUAGGGCGCGAGCGUUGUCCGGAUUUAUUGGGCGUAAAGAGCUCGUAGGCGGCUUGUCGCGUCUGCUGUGAAAACUCGGGGCUUAACUCCGGGCCUGCAGUGGGUACGGGCAGACUAGAGUGCGGUAGGGGAGACUGGAAUUCCUGGUGUAGCGGUGAAAUGCGCAGAUAUCAGGAGGAACACCGGUGGCGAAGGCGGGUCUCUGGGCCGUAACUGACGCUGAGGAGCGAAAGCGUGGGGAGCGAACAGG